GCAGACAGCUCAUAGGGCAACCGGCGAUUGCCACCAACCUUGAGGACUUGGGUUCGAUUCCCUGGGAACCACGUGGAGCUGGGAGUGCGGACAUACAUGUCAAGUGAGUGUUCCACUACCCAGCAAAAUCUCCAGCCCCCGGUAAUGUAUUUCUUGUUGUUGUUGGGUUGUUUUUUUUUUCCUUUUUUAUUUUCAUUUUUUCCUUUGAUAAAUUUCUUGGGUUUCAGCUACCUGGAAAUUAUCAAUGACUGCACGUGCCCAGCUCUUCUGGACCCUCUGAUGUUCUGUCACAUGGGAGCAAAUGGAGAGCUGGGACAUCCUUUGACCUCAGCCCUCAAAGGUUAGGAAGCGGGCCCCUCCUCCCUCCAAGAAUUCCUUUUCUCCAAGGGUGAUUAACUACCUCAGCCAUCCUUCCAGGAGGGCCAAAAAAGCUGUUUUGAAUCUGUACCGGCUCAGAAUAAUCAGUUCCUGGUAUUUCCGGCUUUGUGUGAAGCAGGAUUUCCUGUUUCAAGGCGGGCUGGCUCCCCUGUCCUGAUAUUAGGGAGUCUAUGUAAUAGAUUACUAAUCCAUACUGUUUUUGUUUUUCUAUUCAGGAUAAUUAACUUCUUGCUCAAUCCCUCAGCAUUUGACCAAAAUACCAAGAUAAAAAUGUAGGCCCGUGUUAGUACAAAAGGUCCUGCAUUCAACUGUCCUCCUUAUAUUGCCCAAGAAGUCUUGUGGAAUUCCAAGAAGAAUUCAAGGGGCCAGACCUGGAAUAUGCAUCAAUGAGAAUAAGACACUGACGAAGCUAACGACACUAACGGGGAAUGAGGAUAAUCGACUCCUGUCCUUUGUUUUACUCUUUAACCUAGUAAUAAAUCCCUUUAAAGG
This 870-nucleotide long non-coding RNA is filed under the name Mus musculus (house mouse). RNAcentral's name for it is "predicted gene, 36199". Lineage: Eukaryota; Metazoa; Chordata; Mammalia; Rodentia; Muridae. The record is from RNAcentral.